Molecule: long non-coding RNA, 221 nt
Organism: Populus euphratica (Euphrates poplar)
Lineage: Eukaryota; Viridiplantae; Streptophyta; Magnoliopsida; Malpighiales; Salicaceae
Exons: 2
Source: RefSeq, a predicted model, not a curated record
ACCCAAGAGAAGGAUGCAAGGAAUUCUCAUAAUGUAAAUCUCCAAAUAGAUAAGUGCAAUAAUUGUUGCUUGGGCCACUGCCCAUUCCUGAGCAUCUGUAAGAUGGGUGACUGCAUCACGAUUUGUAGCAAUGAAGAGACAUCCAGGAUUUUCCCUUAUACAGAGUGUUCCAUACUGGACUUUGUAGUAGUUGAAAUAGCGAUCAAAUCCAACAACAACUG